Non-coding RNA from Myodes glareolus (Bank vole), 519 nucleotides. Lineage: Eukaryota; Metazoa; Chordata; Mammalia; Rodentia; Cricetidae. The record is from RefSeq and is a predicted model, not a curated record.
GCAGAUGUCUGAAUGUUGGGUACCAAACCCUGGUCCUCUGGAUUCAUCUCUACCGCAGAAGUGACGGCCACUGUGAGGUAGCGUGGGGCUGCAGCGUCCUGACCUGGGUGCCCUGCAGAAGCUUCCCAGUCAGUAGUCAAAGCACACAGCUGUGCUGGAGGUGCCUUGGGGGCUGGCAGCGGUGGCCAAAGGGUUCAGGACAGAAGCUCUGGAGAACUGACCAUGGUUCAGGCCUGGGGCCUCAUCCGCUACUCAAGUUCUCUCAAUUUAGCUUCAUUUUGUCUAUACUUGAUUUCCCAAGAGCCUGCCUGUACCCUUUAUUUCUCCAUCCGUGCUGUUUGGAGCUGCACGUGGAGUGCCCUGUAAUUGGUCUCCUCUGUGUCUGAGCGCACACACACCUUCUUACUAUGCUUGGUUUCCUCUUUUUUCUUGGCCUGACUUAAAGAUGUUUGUCGGUUUGUUUUUUUAAAAAUAACCAACUGUUUAUUUGACUUCCCCAUGAAGUAAUUUCCUCCUAUA